RNAcentral lists this ribosomal RNA (400 nucleotides) under uncultured bacterium. Its description in RNAcentral is "bacterial SSU rRNA". It matches the Rfam family "Bacterial small subunit ribosomal RNA", at positions 355 to 772 of the family's 1533-position model. The record is from RNAcentral.
UGGGGAAUAUUGGACAAUGGGCGCAAGCCUGAUCCAGCAAUUCCGCGUGGGUGAAGAAGGUCUUCGGAUUGUAAAGCCCUUUCGUUGGGGACGAUGAUGACGGUACCCAAAGAAGAAGCCCCGGCUAACUUCGUGCCAGCAGCCGCGGUAAUACGAAGGGGGCUAGCGUUGCUCGGAAUGACUGGGCGUAAAGGGCGCGUAGGCGGCACAACUAGUCAGGCGUGAAAUUCCUGGGCUUAACCUGGGGGCUGCGUUUGAUACGGUUGGGCUAGAGGAUGGAAGAGGCUCGUGGAAUUCCCAGUGUAGAGGUGAAAUUCGUAGAUAUUGGGAAGAACACCGGUGGCGAAGGCGGCGAGCUGGUCCAUUACUGACGCUGAGGCGCGAAAGCGUGGGGAGCAAA